GGUUCAAAUCCACUCCUAGACACCA
This 25-nucleotide unclassified non-coding RNA is filed under the name Dictyostelium discoideum. The record is from RNAcentral. Lineage: Eukaryota; Evosea; Eumycetozoa; Dictyosteliales; Dictyosteliaceae.